AAAUAAAAUUUGUAAACAAAAAGAGAAAAUUUUGUGCGAAAACAACGAUAAUAAUAAUGAAAAAAAUAUAAUCUACGUUUCUGCAUGGAGUGCAGAAUUCCUUAGUACACCAAAGGAAAUAAUAAAAGCUUUAUCUGAUGAAAAGUUUUAUACUCCUAAAACAAUACAAUCUUUAACAUUGCCACCAGCGAUAUUUGGAAGAAGAAAUAUUCUUGGAGCUGCUGAAAAAGGCAGUGGGAAAAUUUAGCAUUUGGUAUUCCUCUAUUUUAAAUGGUAUAUUAGAAUUAAAGAAAAAAUAUUUACACACACACAGAAAACAAGAUGAUGGAUUAGAAAAUGAAAGCUAUGAGGAAGAAUUGGAAUGUUCCAAUGAUGAAGGUAGUCAACUCGAUGUACUUUUGGAUAAAUACAACAAAUCUUUUCGCUUAGAUAUUAAAUUGAAUGGAUAUUUUGAAAUUAAACUAAAGAACAAAAUUAACAAUUAUAUCUCUAUAUAUUUUAACAAGAAAUAAAGAAUUCCAAUGGGAGUGAGACUUCUAAAGAAAGUGAGAAAGAAAUAGAUGAAAAUUUUGAUAAUGUUGGAGGGAUUGGAUGUGUACGUGUGACAUAUAAUGUAAAAAAAAAGGAAAAAAAAAACGAAUUCUUUGCAAAAACCAAUUUACGCAUUGAUAUUAACGCCAACCAGAAAAUUAGCUAUUCAAGUAAAAGAUCAACGUGUUAAAGCAGCCAAAUAUACUGAUAUAAAGUUAUUAUUAACAAUUGUUUUAACAUCAGAAUUAAUAAUUG
Molecule: long non-coding RNA, 786 nt
Filed under: Polistes fuscatus (common paper wasp)
Lineage: Eukaryota; Metazoa; Arthropoda; Insecta; Hymenoptera; Vespidae
Description: uncharacterized LOC122520408, transcript variant X1
Source: RNAcentral